RNAcentral lists this ribosomal RNA (164 nucleotides) under Euplassa inaequalis. Its description in RNAcentral is "5.8S ribosomal RNA". It matches the Rfam family "5.8S ribosomal RNA". From Rfam's summary of the family: 5.8S ribosomal RNA (5.8S rRNA) is a component of the large subunit of the eukaryotic ribosome. Lineage: Eukaryota; Viridiplantae; Streptophyta; Magnoliopsida; Proteales; Proteaceae. The record is from RNAcentral. RNAcentral also lists the same sequence under 1 other name.
UUAACGACUCUCGGCAACGGAUAUCUCGGCUCUCGCAUCGAUGAAGAACGUAGCGAAAUGCGAUACUUGGUGUGAAUUGCAGAAUCCCGUGAACCAUCGAGUCUUUGAACGCAAGUUGCGCCCUAGGCCAUCGGGUUGAGGGCACGCCUGCCUGGGCGUCACAC